This is a long non-coding RNA of Oncorhynchus tshawytscha (Chinook salmon), 1588 nucleotides long. The record is from Ensembl. Lineage: Eukaryota; Metazoa; Chordata; Actinopteri; Salmoniformes; Salmonidae.
CACCCAUGCAUUCCCCACAAGACAUCUCUUCACAAUCUCCAAGUCCGAACUACGAAGGUAGAGCCAUGAAUACGUUGCAAUCUAUUCCGCAUCAGGAUAAGAUUUCAACACACACCGUACGGAACAGCGGGGACUGAAGACACUCCUUAAAGUUGCGAGCUUGCACCGUGGGACGGUUUCAUUGCUCCAGACCACCACAAGGGGGAGUUUGCGCAAUCAUUAUGCAUUUGGGUCCCAAGGCUUUGGGAUGACCAGACUAAUUUUGACACGAGCCACCCUUGCCUUGUGGCGCUCAACGAAGAUUGCUGACAAAACAGAUGGAAGUUGUCUUAACGAGUCAAGCAAAUGUACAAUUUGAGAGGAAUGUGAUAAUGUAGAGACGUGGCUAUAUAAAAAAAAUUUUUUUUUUGUCAAAGUUAAAUUACGAAAAUCUCUAUUUAGCAAGUUCAGACUAGCUAGUGUUAGGAGAAUGAAUUUGUCUUUUCAGGGACUCCUGAGAACCAACAAACCAGGAUGUUGUCUUGUGAAACAGUGGCUGUAAAGCAUCGACUGCACAAUUGUAAGCUUGCCUUGCAAUGCAGCUAAAGUAACAUGGCUAGCUAUUUACUUGCUUGAGUCGGAUUAAAAAUAACUCUUGCCGCUCUGGGUAUGGACCCUAAAACGUAGUUCUGAACUAAUAUUCAUACCAAUCAAUGAACCUCAAGUCUGAAUGGCAUUAAUGAAGCCUAGAGUAGAAUAUACCUUUUAUUGUGCCAAGGAUGCAAGACCUAUAUACACAUUUUAGUUAAUACCACGUAUGAGAUUCCCAUCUUGUAGCCUGUACAUUGAAUAUAUUCACCGAUCAUGUACUCUUCCUUGGCAAAUAAAGGUGUGGUUCUGGUAUGACAGACACUUUCAGUCAUAUCAAACGAUGCGGUGUCUGCAUGUAUGUAUUACAAUUAUACACUUCAGUGUUUACUGCUCCUGGGAUAUCAAUGAUUACACAUUGUAACUAUACAAUAGACUAAACAUGAUUGAUUUGUAAUUCAUAUAUACAGGAAAAAAACAUAUGCAUAUCUAACUCCAUUAAUCUGAGGACACAGGAUAGUAUUUCAACCAGUGGAGAAUGUGAAACGCUUUAUUGAAAGAAGUGCAUUUUAUUUAUAAUAUUAUACGAGUUCAAUCUUGGGCGGGCAGGUGGGUAGAGCGUUGGACUAGUAACCAGAAGGUUGCAAGAUCAAAUCCCUGAGCCGAGAAGGUAAAAAUCUGCCCCUGAACAAGGCAGUUCCUAGGCCGUCAUUCUUAUCUGACAUGCCUAGUUAAUAAAGGGUAACUACACCCCAAAAUCUGUCUUAAUUGGUUUCCUGCUAGGGUUUUAAACGUUGUCGUGGACAUAGAACAUCCAAUGUUAUAUUUCUAUUAAAAAGGUGUACAUUUUAGAGAGCGAAAACCUAUAGAUGCAGGGACAAACGGUCAACCGGGAAAUGUAAAUGGAGAAACAUUGAAGGGAUUUUACAGGGCCCUAAUGGACUACAGACAUUGACAGUCUCCUAGCCUAAAAACAAAUGCUGAAUGCACUGCCUAGAUUUUGAGGGAAACGCACUGUCCA